UACGUAGGGUGCGAGCGUUAAUCGGAAUUACUGGGCGUAAAGCGUGCGCAGGCGGUUUUGCAAGCCAGAUGUGAAAUCCCCGGGCUUAACCUGGGAAUGGCAUUUGGGACUGCAAGGCUUGAGUGCGGCAGAGGAGACUGGAAUUCCUGGUGUAGCAGUGAAAUGCGUAGAUAUCAGGAGGAACACCGAUGGCGAAGGCAGGUCUCUGGGCUGACACUGACGCUCAUGCACGAAAGCGUGGGGAGCAAACAGG
Molecule: ribosomal RNA, 253 nt
Filed under: uncultured bacterium
Lineage: Bacteria
Description: partial 16S ribosomal RNA
Rfam family: Bacterial small subunit ribosomal RNA
Source: RNAcentral